CCUACGGGAGGCACCAGUAGGGAAUCUUCCGCAAUGGACGAAAGUCUGACGGAGCAACGCCGCGUGAGUGAUGAAGGCUUUCGGGUCGUAAAACUCUGUUGUUAGGGAAGAACAAGUGCUAGUUGAAUAAGCUGGCACCUUGACGGUACCUAACCAGAAAGCCACGGCUAACUACGUGCCAGCAGCCGCGGUAAUACGUAGGUGGCAAGCGUUAUCCGGAAUUAUUGGGCGUAAAGCGCGCGCAGGUGGUUUCUUAAGUCUGAUGUGAAAGCCCACGGCUCAACCGUGGAGGGUCAUCGGAAACUGGGAGACUUGAGUGCAGAAGAGGAAAGUGGAAUUCCAUGUGUAGCGGUGAAAUGCGUAGAGAUAUGGAGGAACACCAGUGGCGAAGGCGACUUUCUGGUCUGUAGCUGACACUGAGGCGCGAAAGCGUGGGGAGCAAACGGGAUUAGAUACCCCUGUAGUC
This 466-nucleotide ribosomal RNA is filed under the name uncultured bacterium. RNAcentral's name for it is "bacterial SSU rRNA". It matches the Rfam family "Bacterial small subunit ribosomal RNA", at positions 338 to 795 of the family's 1533-position model. The record is from RNAcentral.